Molecule: non-coding RNA, 321 nt
Organism: Equus caballus (horse)
Lineage: Eukaryota; Metazoa; Chordata; Mammalia; Perissodactyla; Equidae
Source: RefSeq, a predicted model, not a curated record
UGUGACAGCAUAAAGCUGUAUCCCACCAGACCCUCUUGCUCUGAUUUUCCUCAGAACCAAACCUCCAAACAGGAUUCAAGUGCAAGUAGUUUAUUUGGAGCCCUUACUCCGAGCUUGAAGGUGUUCUGUGGCCAGAAAAAAGGGUAAAGAAUCUCAGUUGCUGGCAAUUGGAAGUCUCGCACCAGUAGAUGCAGAUUCUCAGAGAGCCCUUAUCAGCCACGUAAUGAAGACAGAGGUGCCUCUGUUAGAGAGCUCCUCACCUCCAGCCCCUGCCCUCUGGCAAUUGGAUGUGGUGUAAGCAAGAAAUAAAUGUGAGUUGUG